This 460-nucleotide ribosomal RNA is filed under the name uncultured bacterium. Its description in RNAcentral is "partial 16S ribosomal RNA". It matches the Rfam family "Bacterial small subunit ribosomal RNA", at positions 338 to 795 of the family's 1533-position model. The record is from RNAcentral.
CCUACGGGUGGCAGCAGUGAGGAAUAUUGGUCAAUGGACGAGAGUCUGAACCAGCCAAGUAGCGUGAAGGAUGACUGCUCUAUGGGUUGUAAACUUCUUUUAUAUGGGAGUAAAAUGUUCCACGUGUGGGAUUUUGUAUGUACCAUAUGAAUAAGGAUCGGCUAACUCCGUGCCAGCAGCCGCGGUAAUACGGAGGAUCCGAGCGUUAUCCGGAUUUAUUGGGUUUAAAGGGAGCGUAGGUGGAUUGUUAAGUCAGUUGUGAAAGUUUGCGGCUCAACCGUAAAAUUGCAGUUGAAACUGGCAGUCUUGAGUACAGUAGAGGUAGGCGGAAUUCGUGGUGUAGCGGUGAAAUGCUUAGAUAUCACGCAGAACUCCGAUUGCGAAGGCAGUUCACUGGACUGCAACUGACACUGAGGCUCGAAAGUGUGGGUAUCAAACAGGAUUAGAUACCCCUGUAGUC